AUCCUCCAGAUUCCUUGCUCCUCAGAUCAAAACAUUGAUUUAGUGGUUAUAAAAGAGGAAAAGUAAAACUGAAGUGGGCGUGGGUUCUUUAAGGAAAUGGAAGCUCAUUUCAAGCAAAU
This 119-nucleotide small nucleolar RNA is filed under the name Echinops telfairi (small Madagascar hedgehog). RNAcentral's name for it is "Small nucleolar RNA SNORA61 (ENSETEG00000025328.1)". Lineage: Eukaryota; Metazoa; Chordata; Mammalia; Afrosoricida; Tenrecidae. The record is from RNAcentral.